Thozetella sp. PMI_491 is the source of this 91-nucleotide non-coding RNA. The record is from the annotation of a GenBank genome assembly. Lineage: Eukaryota; Fungi; Ascomycota; Sordariomycetes; Chaetosphaeriales; Chaetosphaeriaceae.
GGUCUGGUGGUCUAGCGGUAUGAUUCUCGCUUAGGGUCCACCCUACAGUUCAAGUUGCGAGAGGUCCCGGGUUCAAUCCCCGGCCAGACCC